This 405-nucleotide ribosomal RNA is filed under the name uncultured bacterium. RNAcentral's name for it is "partial 16S ribosomal RNA". It matches the Rfam family "Bacterial small subunit ribosomal RNA", at positions 30 to 526 of the family's 1533-position model. The record is from RNAcentral.
AUUGAACGCUGGCGGCAGGCCUAACACAUGCAAGUCGAGCGAGCGGCGGACGGGUGAGUAAUGUUUGGGAAUCUACCAUAUGGAGGGGUGUAACUACGGGAAACUGUAGCUUAUACCGCGUACCAUAGGAUGAGCCCAAGUGGGAUUAGGUAGUUGGGGAGGAAAAGGCUCACCAAGGCGACGAUCUCUAGCUGGUCUGAGAGGAUGACCAGCCACACGGGUACUGAGACACGGCCCAGACUCCUACGGUAGGCAGCAGUGGGGAAUAUUGCACAAUGGGGGCAACCUGACGCAGCCAUGCCGCGUGAAUGAAGAAGGCCUUCGGGUUGUAAAGUUCUUUCGGUAGCGAGGCGUUAACUGCAGAAGAAGCACCGGCUAACUCCGUGCCAGCAGCCGCGGUAAUAC